Molecule: ribosomal RNA, 479 nt
Filed under: uncultured bacterium
Lineage: Bacteria
Description: bacterial SSU rRNA
Rfam family: Bacterial small subunit ribosomal RNA
Source: RNAcentral
AAUCAACGCUGGCGGCGCGCUUAACACAUGCAAGUCGAACGGGAAAGUGGAGCAAUCCAUGAGUACAGUGGCGUACGGGUGAGUAACACGUGGGUGAUCUACCUCUUAGUGGGGAAUAACCCUGGGAAACCGGAGCUAAUACCGCAUAAGCCCGAGAGGGGAAAGUGGCUUUGUGAAAACAGAGCCGCGCUGAGAGAGGAGCCCGCGGCCGAUUAGCUAGUUGGUAGGGUAAAAGCCUACCAAGGCAGAGAUCGGUAGCCGGCCUGAGAGGGCACACGGCCACACUGGCACUGAAACACGGGCCAGACUCCUACGGGAGGCAGCAGUGGGGAAUCUUGCACAAUGGGGGAAACCCUGAUGCAGCGACGCCGCGUGAGCGAUGAACGCCCCCGUCGGGGGUGUAAAGGCUUCGUUUCGGCAGGGGAAGAUAGUGACGGUACCUGCAGAAGCAGCUGCGGCUAACUACGUGCCAGCAGCCG